AACACUGUUAACCUGCGGUACCUGCGGAGGGAUCAUUACCGAGUUUACAACUCCCAAACCCCUGUGAACAUACCACUUGUUGCCUCGGCGGAUCAGCCCGCUCCCGGUAAAACGGGACGGCCCGCCAGAGGACCCCUAAACUCUGUUUCUAUAUGUAACUUCUGAGUAAAACCAUAAAUAAAUCAAAACUUUCAGCAACGGAUCU
Molecule: unclassified non-coding RNA, 205 nt
Filed under: soil metagenome
Description: partial contains 5.8S ribosomal RNA, internal transcribed spacer 2, and large subunit ribosomal RNA
Source: RNAcentral